This 253-nucleotide ribosomal RNA is filed under the name uncultured bacterium. RNAcentral describes it as "partial 16S ribosomal RNA". It matches the Rfam family "Bacterial small subunit ribosomal RNA", at positions 524 to 776 of the family's 1533-position model. The record is from RNAcentral.
UACAGAGGUCUCAAGCGUUGUUCGGAUUCAUUGGGCGUAAAGGGUGCGUAGGUGGCAAGGUAAGUCGGGUGUGAAAUCCCGGGGCUCAACCCUGGAACUGCACUCGAUACUGCCAUGCUCGAGUACUGGAGAGGAGACUGGAAUUUACGGAGUAGCAGUGAAAUGCGUAGAUAUCGUAAGGAAGACCAGUGGCGAAGGCGAGUCUCUGGACAGUUACUGACACUGAGGCACGAAGGCCAGGGGAGCAAACGGG